GUCCAUGCCAUAAACGAUGGAUACUAGUCGUUGGAGUACCUAGUAACUUCAGUGACGUAGCUAACGCGUUAAGUAUCCCGCCUGGGAAGUACGGUCGCAAGAUUAAAACUCAAAGGAAUUGACGGGGCCCGCACAAGCGGUGGAGCAUGUGGUUUAAUUCGAUGCUACGCGAAAACCUUACCUGGGUUUGACAUCCCGCGCUAUCCUGUGAAAGCAGGAGUUCCCUUCGGGGACGCGGUGACAGGUGCUGCAUGGCUGUCGU
RNAcentral lists this ribosomal RNA (262 nucleotides) under uncultured bacterium. RNAcentral describes it as "partial 16S ribosomal RNA". It matches the Rfam family "Bacterial small subunit ribosomal RNA", at positions 793 to 1055 of the family's 1533-position model. The record is from RNAcentral.